AAACAAAAAACAAAAACAUGAUACUGUUUAGUUGUGAUGAACAGUAACCACUUACCUCAACUUUGAUGGGUUUUUUUUCUCAGCUAUUUAUUCUGCACAGAGCGUUUCUGGUGUGGCUUAUGCAAAAGAGAAUUGCAACAACACAGCAUGUUUCUCUUCUCCCUUUCACACAGUAAGUAUGUCUGUUGUAGACUGCGCUUUAUAAAUGUCUCUUUGAUUAUUCAAUCGGUCUUUGAAAACUUUAUCGUCAUCACCAGCAUGCUUUGUACCUCAGGCUCAUCCGAGACAAUCGUAUCCAGUGGUGUGGUGGCCAUGGAUUGAGCCAGCCCUGCAAACCCUGUGGAUGGACGAUGCAGUGGACAGUGGGAGGAAGCAUCCUGAAGCUCUCUUUGCAGACCACUGUGUGUGAUUCUCCACUCGCCGACCAGAAAAGACAAACGGCAGGUCUCAGUUGCAGCACCUCAUCCAUCCAUGUCUGAUCCUGCAUCGGCAGAUUCAGCAACACAGCCAGAGACUUCCUGUAAUCUAUUACA
Molecule: long non-coding RNA, 533 nt
Organism: Oreochromis niloticus (Nile tilapia)
Lineage: Eukaryota; Metazoa; Chordata; Actinopteri; Cichliformes; Cichlidae
Exons: 2
Source: RefSeq, a predicted model, not a curated record